GAUGAACGCUAGCGGCAGGCUUAAUACAUGCAAGUCGAACGGGAUUCGAGGUAGCAAUACUUUGAUGAGAGUGGCGCACGGGUGCGUAACGCGUAUGCAACCUACCUUUAACAGGUGAAUAGCCCCGAGAAAUCGGGAUUAAUACACCGUAACAUUGCGCUGUGGCAUCACAGUGCAAUUAAAGAUUUAUCGGUUAAAAGAUGGGCAUGCGUGACAUUAGCUAGUUGGUGAGGUAACGGCUCACCAAGGCAACGAUGUCUAGGGGUCCUGAGAGGGUUAUCCCCACACUGGUACUGAGACACGGACCAGACUCCUACGGGAGGCAGCAGUAAGGAAUAUUGGUCAAUGGGCGCAAGCCUGAACCAGCCAUGCCGCGUGCAGGAAGACGGCCCU
Molecule: ribosomal RNA, 393 nt
Filed under: uncultured bacterium
Lineage: Bacteria
Description: bacterial SSU rRNA
Rfam family: Bacterial small subunit ribosomal RNA
Source: RNAcentral